RNA transcript from Olea europaea var. sylvestris, 1590 nucleotides. RefSeq lists it as uncharacterized. The record is from RefSeq and is a predicted model, not a curated record. The transcript is spliced from 2 exons. NCBI's taxonomy places the organism in Eukaryota, Viridiplantae, Streptophyta, Magnoliopsida, Lamiales, Oleaceae.
GGUAAAUGCUUGUGGAGGUGGCAUUAGAUGCCAAUGACUUUAUUUACCCAGUAGCAUAUGCUAUAGUUGAGAGGGAGAAUGCUACUAUCUGGAGGUGGUUUAUUCAACAUUUGGGCGAAGAUUUGAAGAUGAUGAAUGGUAAUGAAUGGACAUUUAUGAUGGAUAGGCAAAAGGGUUUACAAAAUGUUAUAGAUGAUUUGUAUCCCGAAGCUGUUCACCAAUUUUAUGUUAGACACAUGUACAACAAUUUCUUUAGAACUGAUUUUAAGGGUUUAAUUCUUACGGAAUACUUAUGGAAGGCUGCAAAGUUGACAAUAGUGCCCGAAUGGAUGUUUUGGAUGGGUGAGAUGGAGAAAGAAAGUACUGCAGCGCAUAAUUGGUUAAAGAAAAGGCACCCAAGUGAAUGGAGUAGGGCUUAUUUUCAGACAAAGGUUAAGAGUGACAUUUUUUUAAAUAAUCUAUGCGAAGUCUUCAAUAAUGUUGUAUUAAAAGAAAGGAAAAAAUUUAUAUUGACAAUGUUGAUUGAUUUGCAUAUAAGUUCCAUGAAAAUGAUACAAGCAAUAAGGGACAAGAUGAGAAGAGUAGUAUGGCCUUUGAGUCCUAAAGCUCAAAAGAAACUUAUGUCAAACAUUGAGAUGGUAGAGCUAUAUGAGGUGGAUUGAUCUGGAGGGGCCCAGUCAUAUGUGAAAUGUUCUAGUGGGGAAUAUGCUGUUGAUCUAAUGAACAAAACAUGUACAUGUAGGAUAUGAGAUUUGACUGGGGUUCCUUGUGCUCAUGCAGUUGCUGCCAUUAUAGACUGAAGGGAUGAGCCGUGGAAGUAUAUGCAUGAGUGUUAUAGAGUAAGUACAUAUAUGAACUGUUAUGAGAAUAUUAUAAACCCUAUCAAUGGGAUAAAAUUAUGGCCUCAAGUAGAUGCCCCUCCAAUCAAGCCACCAGAAUGGUUUGUGCUUAAAAAGGGAAGAAAACAGAAGAAGAGAAGAAGACAGGUAGAAGAAGAUGUCAUAACCCGUUCGGGGUCCAAAGUAAAGUUGAACAAGAAGGGUACCAUGAUGAUUACUUGUAGUUUAUUUGGAGGGAUAGGCCACAACAAGAGGUAUCAUCAAAAGGCCAAUGCAACACAUGAGAUCAUACACAUGAAGGAAGCUUAAGGGAUGUGAGGAGUGAAAGAUUAAGGGUAAUUACAACUAUUGCAAUAUCAUGCUUUAAAUGAAUCUGGCCAAAUAAAAUUUUCACUACAUAUAUGAUGUUAUGACACUAUUACAGGUAAAACUCAUGUAUUGGAGGCAAUCGGGGAUGCCUCCAUCUGAAAUGCAACCACCAGAACAAUCAUCUAAUUCCCUUUUCAUGCCAACACCUGGAAUUGGUUUAACUAGUGCUGCGUAAUUUACCAACUAUGGUCCUCUACUAUAAUGAGCCAGCUAGUUCAACAAUAGAGAAAUCUCCGCUUAAAGCCAUAGUGGAAGACUUUCAAGAGAGAGAGAACCAAGAAAAACAAAGGAAGAGGGCAACCAUAGCAAAAAAUAGAAUGAUUGUUCGAGGGUCGGUUCCAUUUGUGCCUCCAAGAAAAAAUUCAGCAACUCAAUAGUAUUU